Molecule: long non-coding RNA, 448 nt
Organism: Brassica oleracea var. oleracea
Lineage: Eukaryota; Viridiplantae; Streptophyta; Magnoliopsida; Brassicales; Brassicaceae
Exons: 4
Source: RefSeq, a predicted model, not a curated record
CUUACAGGGAGAACUUGUAUCUGUUAGGAUUGAGUAUGCAGAUGCGCUGCUGGAAUGUAGUGCUCCUGAUGUGCGUUCCCAAAUACUGGCUUCUGAAGUCAACAGUUUGGAAGACUAGUUGGCAAUUGAAAAAGAGGAACUGGUCCAAGCAUCAUCAAUUCACUACCUCAAUGUGCUCUGAAAUAACGGUUAGAGCUACCAAUAGCCCCGAAUAUGGCGAUAGACAAUGUGUCACCCUCAAAUAAGCUGGAUUCUCACAUUGUUCAAGAGUACUACCAAUUGCAGAUGAGGGCGAUGAGGUGUUAAGAAAGGUUUCUGGGAUGGAUCAUGAAGAUGUUACAGGAUGGCUGUCGAUAAGGAUAAGCAAAAUUCUCUAAUGCACCACAUUAUCGCCUCGCCCUUGCUAUCUUGUACAUCCUGACACAGCCAUGGACCACUACUGGUAGCA